This 3543-nucleotide long non-coding RNA is filed under the name Glycine max (soybean). RNAcentral describes it as "long non-coding RNA (GMAX_LNC003964)". Lineage: Eukaryota; Viridiplantae; Streptophyta; Magnoliopsida; Fabales; Fabaceae. The record is from RNAcentral.
GGCCACAUGGUAUUUGCAAUUACAUUGAAGGUAUAUAUAUAUUAGCAAAGAUGUUAGUACUCCAAAACCUAGUAUGAAAACCAAAAUUGUAUGUUAUAAUUGUGAAAGACAAGGUCACAUUAACAAAUAUGGUAGGCUGAAAAAGAAACCUUAAUUUAGGUUCAUCCAUAGAAGAACGGAUUAAUAAUCUGCUCAUUGAAACCUUAGAGGAAGAAACCGAAGAUGUAUCCUCUGAAGAAAAUCUUAAUCUAAUUCAACAGGACGAUCAACCAUCAUUUAUGGAUAAUGAAGAUAUCCAAGAAAUCAAUAUGACAGAAUAGUCAGAUAGAUGGUAGAGAGAGAAGCUCUUGGAAACACUCUUUGUAAGCUUUUCUUUCGUUAAUAAAUUUUCAAGCUCUUUCUUUCAUAUCUCUUCUUCCUCUUGACUGAUCAUGUGCAGCUUUGUCAUCGCUUCAAUUUCUUCUCUUCCUCCCCCUAACAGAUCCAAUGCGACUCUGUCGCCAUUUCUGUUUUCUUUUUAAUGUUUUUGUUUUAAAUCUUUGCAUGUUUACUUAAUUUGUUUUUAUAUUGAUUAUUUUCUUCAUAUUUUGUCUGCCUUGUUUGAUUAUUGUUCUUACCUCUCAUCUGUCUGUUUGAUCUCUUUCCGUUGAUCUCUGAUAUCAGAGCCUGAUGGGGAGGUAGGAAUAUAAUUUGUAAGGAAAUAUGUUAACUGACAUGGAUUUGAAAUUUUGUACAAUAAAUGUUUUUGUUUUCGUUCAUGUACAGUAACGUUAAUCUAAACAAUAUGUGUUUGAACAGUAUUCUUGUUUUCAAGGGUAAUCUAGAUAACAUUGGUUGUUGGAUCACGUAUGAUGUCUUGUUUCCAAGGAUAAUCUAGAUUUUCUCUAAUGGUAUAAGCAUGAAACCAAUCAAAGAAAUGAAUGUUAAUUUUGACUCUUUCGACAAACUCAUAGAAUUUGUUUUGGAUUUGUUUUCUUUUUGUACCUUUAAAAUGUUGAAAAAACCAUCUCCUAUGAGGUUCAUUCUCUGGAGAAUAAAAGUCUUUUCUAAAGAUUUCUUUAUCAAUGCUAAAUUUGUCAAAUAACAUCAUAAGGUUCAUGCAUAAAGGAAUAUGUUGGAGAUUGGAUUGAUUUUUGGUCAUCCUCUUGUUCUUGAUUAUAUGUGGUUCUAGGUAUACUAGAAGUUGUAUCUAAUCCUUAGAGGUUUAUACUUGGAAACUGAUUAUGUGACUCAGAUCUAGAUAACCCUAUUGGAAUUAAUCGGGUUCUUACCAAGAAAGACCUUAUUGCUAAUUCAUACUCGGAUCUUGAGGCUUCUAUUCUAGAUGAGAAAGAGUUUCUUCUAUUGAAGGUUAUUUCUACCUUACCGGAAUUAUCCUGCUUUAUUUGUUCUAUGGUUGGAACGGGUUUGGGAACUGACAGUGUGGCCUUGUCCAUGACCCAUUUUUCAGGAAGAGUUACUUCAUCCCAUUUUAUGGUUCUUAGGAGAGAAACAUUAGCCUUUAUCAUAUCAGUGAUAAACGAAGUUGUCUCUCCUCUUUGAGGUUUUAGAAGGACUCUUGACGCACAAGUGUUCAUGACCUUAUACUAGAUCCUAUAAAUAAAAUUAAGGCUGCUGGAAUUGAUCCUUCUUUCAUGUCAAGUCCAUGAAAGUGGAUAUUUAAGAACAGAGAGUCAAGAAUGUUUCUAUCCAUCAGACUCACUGUUUUGUUUUGGUAAUAGUUGAAAUAGACUGGUCCUUGCUCUAGACUUGUUUCUACUGUUCCUAUUAAAGAAUCUUCAAAUUUGUCGUGCCUAAUAUAUCUAAGACACAUUAAGACGGUUGCAUCUAUACCCAUGUCAAUUAAGGGUUUGAUUGUCACUUGCACACAUCCUAUGUGUAGGUAUUUGUAUUUUCUGCUAUGUUUGAAGAUUGAAUUCUUUGAUAAUAAAUGAAAUCCUUCUCCUAUGUCUUGUCCUAGAGGAAUAUUAUUUUCUACAGUCUUAAUCAAAACUGUGUUUAUCUUUGAUUGUCUCAGGAACAUACAGUGUGUCCUAAGGGAUUUCUGGAAUACUCCAGUCAUCCAUGUUUUUGUUUUUCUCCUCAAAUCGAACUUCUUCGUCGAAGAAAUUAUGUUUUGGAGUGACCUCGUGGGUCUAAUUGUCUUGCUCAGUGAGCAAAUUUAAGUUUCUUGAGCUAGAGUUUAAGGAUGAAGAUGAUGAAUUUGUACAAAAAGAAAUAUGAGAAAAUGUUCGUAACAGAUGAGACAUAUUAUUUUUCAUCCUCUAGUAUCUUUGCUUUCAUGUGGUUCCAUAGAAAUAUCUCCAUAAGGUUAUAUGUUACUAAGUUUUUUGGAUCUGGAAAAAUAAAAAUUUUAACUCUUUUUUUUUAAUACGUACGAUUUGAACAUUACUCCUAUAGCCACCAAUAUAUUAUAUCUUAAUAUUUUAUUUGAACAACACACCUUAAUCUUAUUAUCCUUUCUCAUCUAUAAGACUUACUGCUACAAUAUCAUUCAACUAAAAUAUAAACUAUUGUAUUUCCAAGAAUAUUGUUCAAACACAUAUUGUUUAGAUUAAAAUUACUAUACAUGAACGAAAACAUUUAUUAUACAAAAUUUCAUAUCCAUAAAAUUAGUUAACAUAUAUAUUCUUUCUAGUUCAAUGUAUGUUCAGAAUCAGGGAUGAUAGCGUCUGAUAGGGUGCCACUCUACCAUCUCUGGACAUGACAGCCUAGACGUACUUUAUUACAAUGUGGACUAGAAGUGGCCUUCACUGUUUAUUUGGAAGGGUUAGUACAAGCAACAUACAAACACAAAUAGUGAGAGUAGAUCCUAGUGAUGAAUGUUUUUAGACAAUAUAACCAUGAUCCACCCGUACGUAUUAGGUAGUAUAUAUGGAAAAUCCCAUUCAUAACUUUAAAACUCAUGUUUCUAAGGAAUUCAAGGAUGAAUUUAUUUCAUACAAUGAGAUGAGUUCACAUAUAUAUAGUACUCUCUCUCAUAACCCUUUUAUGAUUUGCAAGUUGUUAAUUUCAUGGCACUAAAUGAUUUAUAUACUUUAAAUUUAUCAAGAAAUUGUAAGAUCGCGUAUAUAAUUAGAUUGUUGAUCUAUUAGCAAGUUCUUUUUUUCUCUAGCAUAUAGUAAAUCAUAAAGAAAGAAAUCAUCAAGCUUCCAACUUUUUAAGAAUGUCAUGUUGAGGAACUUAUGUGCUUAACUCCCUUACAAGAUAGCUAUUGCUUGGGCCUGAAAUUUAAUGAUGAAUAGGGAUUUCAGAUUUGACAAAACUGGGAUCAAGACAAAUAUUUUUAAUAAAAAAAAAAUGCUUAGUGAACUCAUGAUACUUUGGGAGAACGGCACACCUUUAUGACACCAUGAAGCUUAACAAAUUUAAUAAACUAUAUAUGUGGCUUGAAAGUUGAAAAGGCUUUGGAUGAGGAUGCGAAAGAGCACAAGGUAUCAUACAUUAAAAGAAGCAUGUAUCCUAGACAUGGAAAAUGGACGCUUUAACACCUUGUAGCUCUAUGACUACUCUCUGACGAGUGGCUCUCUCUAGUUCACUCCC